GACGAACGCUGGCGGCGUGCUUAACACAUGCAAGUCGAACGGUAAGGCCCUUCGGGGUACACGAGUGGCGAACGGGUGAGUAACACGUGGGUGAUCUGCCCUGCACUUCGGGAUAAGCCUGGGAAACUGGGUCUAAUACCGGAUAGGACCACUGCCUGCAUGGGUGGUGGUGGAAAGCUUUUGCGGUGUGGGAUGGGCCCGCGGCCUAUCAGCUUGUUGGUGGGGUGAUGGCCUACCAAGGCGACGACGGGUAGCCGGCCUGAGAGGGUGACCGGCCGCACUGGAACUGAGAUACGGCCCAGACUCCUACGGGAGGCAGCAGUGGGGAAUAUUGCACAAUGGGCGCAAGCCUGAUGCAGCGACGCCGCGUGAGGGAUGACGGCCUUCGGGUUGUAAACCUCUUUCAGCACCGACGAAGCGCAAGUGACGGUAGGUGCAGAAGAAGGACCGGCCAACUACGUGCCAGCCGCCGCAGUAA
This 478-nucleotide ribosomal RNA is filed under the name uncultured bacterium. Its description in RNAcentral is "partial 16S ribosomal RNA". It matches the Rfam family "Bacterial small subunit ribosomal RNA", at positions 28 to 523 of the family's 1533-position model. The record is from RNAcentral.